GAACUUGCCUUACAGACUGGGACAACAUUUGGAAACGAAUGCUAAUACCGGAUAUUAUGACUGAGUCGCAUGAUUUGGUUAUGAAAGCUAUAUGCGCUGUGAGAGACUUUGCGUCCCAUUAGUUAGUUGGUGAGGUAACGGCUCACCAAGACGAUGAUGGGUAGCCGGCCUGAGAGGGUGAACGGCCACAAGGGGACUGAGACACGGCCCUUACUCCUACGGGAGGCAGCAGUGGGGAAUAUUGGACAAUGGACCAAAAGUCUGAUCCAGCAAUUCUGUGUGCACGAUGAAGUUUUUCGGAAUGUAAAGUGCUUUCAGUUGGGAAGAAGUCAGUGACGGUACCAACAGAAGAAGCGACGGCUAAAUACGUGCCAGCAGCCGCGGUAAUACGUAUGUCGCAAGCGUUAUCCGGAUUUAUUGGGCGUAAAGCGCGUCUAGGCGGUUUAGUAAGUCUGAUGUGAAAAUGCGGGGCUCAACCCCGUAUUGCGUUGGAAACUGCUAAACUAGAGUACUGGAGAGGUAGGCGGAACUACAAGUGUAGAGGUGAAAUUCGUAGAUAUUUGUAGGAAUGCCGAUGGGGAAGCCAGCCUACUGGACAGAUACUGACGCUAAAGCGCGAAAGCGUGGGUAGCAAACAGGAUUAGAUACCCUGGUAGUCCACGCCGUAAACGAUGAUUACUAGGUGUUGGGGGUCGAACCUCAGCGCCCAAGCUAACGCGAUAAGUAAUCCGCCUGGGGAGUACGUACGCAAGUAUG
This 756-nucleotide ribosomal RNA is filed under the name uncultured Fusobacteriota bacterium. Its description in RNAcentral is "bacterial SSU rRNA". It matches the Rfam family "Bacterial small subunit ribosomal RNA", at positions 122 to 896 of the family's 1533-position model. The record is from RNAcentral. Lineage: Bacteria; Fusobacteriati; Fusobacteriota.